GCAAUUAUACGGCGAAACUGCGAAUGGCUCAUUAAAUCAGUUAUCGUUUAUUUGAUAGUACCUUACUACUUGGAUAACCGUGGUAAUUCUAGAGCUAAUACAUGCUAAAAACCCCGACUCACGAAGGGGUGUAUUUAUUAGAUUAAAAACCAACGCCCUCCGGGGCUCACUGGUGAUUCAUGAUAACUUCUCGGAUCGCACGGCCUUGCGCCGGCGACGGUUCAUUCAAAUUUCUGCCCUAUCAACUUUCGACGGCUGGGUAUUGGCCAGCCGUGGUGACAACGGGUAACGGAGGGUUAGGGCUCGACCCCGGAGAAAACGCCUGAGAAACGGCGUUUACAUCCAAGGAAGGCAGCAGGCGCGCAAAUUACCCAAUGCCGACUCGGCGAGGUAGUGACGAUAAAUACUGGUACGGGGCUCUUUCGGGUCUCGUAACUGGAAUGAGUACAAUUUAAAUCCCUUAACGAGGAACAAUUGGAGGGCAAGUCUGGUGCCAGCAGCCGCGGUAAUUCCAGCUCCAAUAGCGUAUAUUAAAGUUGUUGAAGUUAAAAAGCUCGUAGUUGAACCUUGGGCCUGGCUGGCCGGUCCGCCUCACCGCGUGCACUGGUCCGGCCGGGCCUUUCCCUCCGGGGAGCCGCAUGCCCUUCACUGGGCGUGUCGGGGAACCGGGACUUUUACUUUGAAAAAAUUAGAGUGUUCAAAGCAGGCCUAUGCUCGGAUACAUUAGCAUGGAAUAAUAGAAUAGGACGCGCGGUUCUAUUUUGUUGGUUUCUAGGACCGCCGUAAUGAUUAAUAGGGACAGUCGGGGGCGUCAGUAUUCAAUUGUCAGAGGUGAAAUUCUUGGAUUUAUUGAAGACUAACUACUGCGAAAGCAUUCGCCAAGGAUGUUUUCAUUAAUCAGGAACGAAAGUUAGGGGAUCGAAGACGAUCAGAUACCGUCGUAGUCUUAACCGUAAACUAUGCCGACUAGGGAUCGGGCGGUGUUAUCUUUUGACCCGCU
Molecule: ribosomal RNA, 1000 nt
Filed under: Ophioceras sp.
Lineage: Eukaryota; Fungi; Ascomycota; Sordariomycetes; Magnaporthales; Ophioceraceae
Description: SSU rRNA
Rfam family: Eukaryotic small subunit ribosomal RNA
Source: RNAcentral